Molecule: ribosomal RNA, 372 nt
Filed under: uncultured organism
Description: partial 16S ribosomal RNA
Rfam family: Bacterial small subunit ribosomal RNA
Source: RNAcentral
GUAGGUGGCAAGCGUUGUCCGGAAUUAUUGGGCGUAAAGUGCGCGCAGGCGGUUCUUUAAGUCUGAUGUGAAAGCCCACGGCUCAACCGUGGAGGGUCAUUGGAAACUGGAGAACUUGAGUACAGAAGAGGAAAGCGGAAUUCCACGUGUAGCGGUGAAAUGCGUAGAGAUGUGGAGGAACACCAGUGGCGAAGGCGGCUUUCUGGUCUGUAACUGACGCUGAGGCGCGAAAGCGUGGGGAGCAAACAGGAUUAGAUACCCUGGUAGUCCACGCCGUAAACGAUGAGUGCUAAGUGUUAGGGGGUUUCCGCCCCCCUUAGUGCUGCAGCUAACGCAUUAAGCACUCCGCCUGGGAGUACGGCCGCAAGGCUG